UACGUAGGGUGCAAGCGUUGUCCGGAAUUAUUGGGCGUAAAGAGCUCGUAGGCGGUCUGUUGCGUCGGCUGUGAAAACCCGGGGCUCAACCCCGGGCCUGCAGCCGAUACGGGCAGACUAGAGUUCGGCAGGGGAGACUGGAAUUCCUGGUGUAGCGGUGAAAUGCGCAGAUAUCAGGAGGAACACCGGUGGCGAAGGCAGCUCUCUGGGACGGUACUGACGCUGAGACGCGAAAGCGUGGGGAGCGAACAGG
RNAcentral lists this ribosomal RNA (253 nucleotides) under uncultured bacterium. Its description in RNAcentral is "partial 16S ribosomal RNA". It matches the Rfam family "Bacterial small subunit ribosomal RNA", at positions 524 to 776 of the family's 1533-position model. The record is from RNAcentral.